UAGGGANUCUUCCGCAAUGGACGCAAGUCUGACGGAGCAACGCCGCGUGAGUGAAGAAGGUUUUCGGAUCGUAAAACUCUGUUGUUAGAGAAGAACAAGUGCUAGAGUAACUGUUAGCGCCUUGACGGUAUCUAACCAGAAAGCCACGGCUAACUACGUGCCAGCAGCCGCGGUAAUACGUAGGUGGCAAGCGUUGUCCGGAUUUAUUGGGCGUAAAGCGAGCGCAGGCGGUUCCUUAAGUCUGAUGUGAAAGUCCCCGGCUCAACCGGGGAGGGUCAUUGGAAACUGGGGAACUUGAGUGCAGAAGAGGAGAGUGGAAUUCCAUGUGUAGCGGUGAAAUGCGUAGAUAUAUGGAGGAACACCAGUGGCGAAGGCGACUCUCUGGUCUGUAACUGACGCUGAGGCUCGAAAGCGUGGGUAGCAAACAGGAUUAGAUACCCUGGUAGUCCACGCCGUAAACGAUGAGUGCUAAGUGUUGGAGGGUUUCCGCCCUUCAGUGCUGCAGUUAACGCAUUAAGCACUCCGCCUGGGGAGUACGACCGCAAGGUUG
Molecule: ribosomal RNA, 550 nt
Filed under: uncultured bacterium
Lineage: Bacteria
Description: bacterial SSU rRNA
Rfam family: Bacterial small subunit ribosomal RNA
Source: RNAcentral